AUAACAGCAAGGAGCAGACACUUCGCACCAACCCUCACCCCAGGGUUGUCCUGAACAAGUGUUCUUCCUUGUCGGAGGAAGCGGCAAGGCAAGCAAUGGCAAAUAGUAAUAUUUCGGGGGAAGAGAGAGAGAGAGAGAGAGAGAGAGAGAGAGUCGAUUGGGUGCAAAAGAGAAGGCAAAAACCCGCAAAAGCGAAGCGCUCGGAGAGGGAAGGAAAGGGAAAAGGGAAAAAAAUCUUGGAGCAGGGGAGGAGGAUAGGGAAUCGGGGGAACGCGAACCUCUCGGAGCAAAUCCUUGCCGCGCCUAGUGGUUUCUUCUUCUUCUUCACUCUCGUCUCCUCAUCGGGCUUUGCUGUGGGCGCACGGAGGGGGAAAAAGGCUGGUUUGGAUUUGGAGCAGAGAAGAGCAGGGCGGGCGGGGUCCUUCCACCGGCUCACCGCUGGCGGGAUACGCAGCUCCGCGCUGGUGCGGUCGCAGGGCACGCAGGUCCGGUCAGCGGAGUGGGGAGAGGCGCGGCCGCGCGCGUCUCAUCCGGUCAGUCGUCACAUCCAAGGGGCGGAAAAAACAAGUCAAGGAUGGUCUCCCGCUCCGCGGCUCCGGUGUCCGGUCUCCACUCGUUGCCUUCGGCUUGGCUGUGGCUGCCUCCAGCCCUGGAGUGGACCGCUCGCUCCAGCCGAGAGGAGCAGAGAGCUAGAGACGAGUCUCUCUACAC
RNAcentral lists this unclassified non-coding RNA (711 nucleotides) under Zea mays. RNAcentral describes it as "misc RNA Zm00001eb318640". The record is from RNAcentral. Lineage: Eukaryota; Viridiplantae; Streptophyta; Magnoliopsida; Poales; Poaceae.